UCCUACGGGGGGCUGCAGUGGGGAAUAUUGCACAAUGGGCGCAAGCCUGAUGCAGCAACGCCGCGUGAGGGAUGACGGCCUUCGGGUUGUAAACCUCUUUUAGCAGGGAAGAAGCGAAAGUGACGGUACCUGCAGAAAAAGCGCCGGCUAACUACGUGCCAGCAGCCGCGGUAAUACGUAGGGCGCAAGCGUUAUCCGGAAUUAUUGGGCGUAAAGAGCUCGUAGGCGGUUUGUCGCGUCUGCUGUGAAAUCCCGAGGCUCAACCUCGGGUCUGCAGUGGGUACGGGCAGACUAGAGUGCGGUAGGGGAGAUUGGAAUUCCUGGUGUAGCGGUGGAAUGCGCAGAUAUCAGGAGGAACACCGAUGGCGAAGGCAGAUCUCUGGGCCGUAACUGACGCUGAGGAGCGAAAGGGUGGGGAGCAAACAGGAUUAGAUACCCUAGUAGUC
RNAcentral lists this ribosomal RNA (446 nucleotides) under uncultured Microbacterium sp. Its description in RNAcentral is "bacterial SSU rRNA". It matches the Rfam family "Bacterial small subunit ribosomal RNA", at positions 337 to 795 of the family's 1533-position model. Lineage: Bacteria; Bacillati; Actinomycetota; Actinomycetes; Micrococcales; Microbacteriaceae. The record is from RNAcentral.